CCUACGGGUGGCUGCAGUGAGGAAUAUUGGUCAAUGGACGAGAGUCUGAACCAGCCAAGUAGCGUGAAGGAUGACUGCCCUAUGGGUUGUAAACUUCUUUUAUAAAGGAAUAAAACGAGGCACGUGUGCCUUUUUGCAUGUACUUUAUGAAUAAGGAUCGGCUAACUCCGUGCCAGCAGCCGCGGUAAUACGGAGGAUCCGGGCGUUCUCCGGAAUUAUUGGGUUUAAAGGGAGCGUAGGUGGGUUGUUAAGUCAGUUGUGAAAGGGUGCGGCUCAACCGUAAAAUUGCAAUUGAUACUGGCAGUCUAGAGUACAGUUGAGGUAAGCGGAAUUCGUGGUGUAGCGGUGAAAUGCGUAGAUAUCACGAAGAACCCCGAUUGCGAAGGCAGCUUACUAAACUGUGACUGACAUUGAGGCACGAAAGUGUGGGUAGCAAACAGGAUUAGAUACCCUUGUAGUC
This 460-nucleotide ribosomal RNA is filed under the name uncultured bacterium. Its description in RNAcentral is "partial 16S ribosomal RNA". It matches the Rfam family "Bacterial small subunit ribosomal RNA", at positions 338 to 795 of the family's 1533-position model. The record is from RNAcentral.